RNAcentral lists this ribosomal RNA (670 nucleotides) under uncultured bacterium. Its description in RNAcentral is "bacterial SSU rRNA". It matches the Rfam family "Bacterial small subunit ribosomal RNA", at positions 24 to 738 of the family's 1533-position model. The record is from RNAcentral.
UCAGAACGAACGCUGGCGGCAGGCUUAACACAUGCAAGUCGAGCGCCCCGCAAGGGGAGCGGCAGACGGGUGAGUAACGCGUGGGAAUCUAGCCAUCUCUACGGAACAACUCCGGGAAACUGGAGCUAAUACCGUAUACGUCCUUAUGGAGAAAGAUUUAUCGGAGAUGGAUGAGCCCGCGUUGGAUUAGCUAGUUGGUGGGGUAAUGGCCUACCAAGGCGACGAUCCAUAGCUGGUCUGAGAGGAUGAUCAGCCACACUGGGACUGAGACACGGCCCAGACUCCUACGGGAGGCAGCAGUGGGGAAUAUUGGACAAUGGGCGCAAGCCUGAUCCAGCCAUGCCGCGUGAGUGAUGAAGGCCCUAGGGUUGUGAAGCUCUUUCAACGAUGAAGAUAAUAGACGGUAACCGUAGAAGAAGCCCCGACUAACUUCGUGCCAGCAACCGCGGUAAUACGAAGGGGGAUAGCGUUGUUCGGAAUUACUGGGCGUAAAGCGCACGUAGGCGGAUACUUAAGUCAGGGGUGAAAUCCCGGGGCUCAACCCCGGAACUGCCUUUGAUACUGGGUAUCUGGAGUCCGGAAGAGGUGAGUGGAAUUCCGCCCCUCCCCAGCCUGAAAUUCGUAGAUAUUCGGAGGAACACCAGUGGCGAAGGCGGCUCACUGGUCCGGU